AGGGAGUUAAAAGACCGGUUCCUCAAUCUCGUAACCUUUUAAGAGACGGGCUCCACUUGACUUAAAAAUGUGGACCAAUGCUGUCCCCACCACCUAGGUAACACAUCUUUCUUUCACAUCCUCUGGAGGAGUAAGUCUGGAAAGGAAGGGGUAGCCAGAAAAGAACUGAGGUAAUCCAAAAGAAAGUAUUUGGGGACUUCCAGAAGAUUCUCGAGCCAACAAAAAUAUACCCCAAUGCCAAAGCACUCCCUCGCUAAAGUCAGUAUGUGAAAAUGUGAAUAUUAUUUUGGAUGCCGUUGUGCUAACCCAAGUGUGUUAAGUCGGCGGACGCCCACGACAUUCGAAAUUGGUUGGAACGGAGCCAUCUCUUGAAUAAAUUAAGUCAUGCGUGAAAACCCAAAUUUGUGUUACAACUCAACAGAAUCAAGGCCUUGCGAAUUGGUAGUCAAACGUGGCCCCUAUUUUUAGUAUUUAAAACUCAUGAUGCCCGGUAUUUUUUUUUACCGUUUUGUACACAGAACUUCUACGUAUCGUCCUGACAAUGUCCGCGCUUUGAUAACCAAAUCAGAAAAAAAAGAGCGCAGAAACACGUAAUCAUAGAAACCACUAGAUGGAUGCAUAACGCCGGCAGUAGUCUUCAAACACCCCCAAGAAAUGUUGUUCUCAAGUGUGAUUCUCAGCUAACUGUUCCUGCGCGAGGAAAGGAAGACACAAGCUGAUGUACACACACGUUCAGGUCUCUUAUUUCAACGACACGGAUUUGAAUUUGUUGAAAUGUCUUCCAUUGUCCACCAGUCCCCAAGGAAAACAGGAAAACAGGGACCCAGGUUGGCACUGCACCUCAUUUGGCCCAUGCUUUUGUGAAAUCAUAGACUUUUCGAGCUGGAAAAUUCACAGGGUCGCUUUGCUCUGUUUUUCAUUUUGUAGAGAAGAAACUUGAGGCCGAGAAGCACGCUGUGUGCUCAGGCCUCACAGCUCAUUAGGAACACGACCCAGGCCCUUUCUUGGGCUGCUGGAAACUGAAUGCUUCUGCAGCACCUUAACAUCGUAUGAAUAACUUGUAAAAUGUAUACAUACAUGGAGCAUGGGUGCGUAGAAAAGAUCAUCUAUAUCCUAGUACCCAAAUAAAUCAUUGUUUUCGUCUUUU
Molecule: long non-coding RNA, 1147 nt
Organism: Leopardus geoffroyi (Geoffroy's cat)
Lineage: Eukaryota; Metazoa; Chordata; Mammalia; Carnivora; Felidae
Exons: 3
Source: RefSeq, a predicted model, not a curated record